GACGUAGGGUGCAAGCGUUGUCCGGAUUUACUGGGCGUAAAGAGCGCGUAGGCGGUCUUGUAAGUGUGAAGUGAAAUCUCCAGGGCUCAACCCGGAAACUGCUUUGCAUACUGCGAGACUAGAGGGAUGCAGAGGUUUGUGGAAUUCCUGGUGUAGCGGUGAAAUGCGUUGAUAUCGGGAGGAACACCCAUGGCGAAGGCAGCAAACUGGGCAUCAUCUGACGCUGAGGCGCGAAAGCGUGGGUAGCAAACAGG
RNAcentral lists this ribosomal RNA (254 nucleotides) under uncultured bacterium. RNAcentral describes it as "partial 16S ribosomal RNA". It matches the Rfam family "Bacterial small subunit ribosomal RNA", at positions 524 to 776 of the family's 1533-position model. The record is from RNAcentral.